CGUGUAGGCAGACUCGCAAGUCGGUUGUGAAAUCCCUGGGCUUAACCUAGGAACUGCAUCCGAAACUGCUUGCCUUGAGUAAUGGAGAGGGUGGCGGAAUUCCCGGUGUAGAGGUGAAAUUCGUAGAUAUCGGGAGGAACAUCAGUGGCGAAGGCGGCCACCUGGACAUUUACUGACGCUGAGACGCGAAAGCGUGGGGAGCGAACAGGAUUAGAUACCCUGGUAGUCC
RNAcentral lists this ribosomal RNA (229 nucleotides) under uncultured bacterium. RNAcentral describes it as "partial 16S ribosomal RNA". It matches the Rfam family "Bacterial small subunit ribosomal RNA", at positions 568 to 796 of the family's 1533-position model. The record is from RNAcentral.